UCUUCUCCAAGAAGAGUUCUGUGAUUUUCAUAACUAUAAUUUUUAUGACCAUAAUUAAACUUAUUGAAAUUGCAGUAAAAUUCACUAUCUCAGUUUUCUGCUUUACUUUCUUCCCUCCAACCCCUUCCGCAGUUACAACAGUUACUUGUUAUCAGCUCUGGGCUACAUGUUUGUCUUAAAAAACUUUUGUUUCAAGAUGCACUUAAGAGACUUGGGCAUAAAAAUGUCAUCCAUGGCUGUAUUUGUCUAAAAGGAAAAACCCCACAAUAUUUACAUAAAUGAGGAUGUUGCUGCAUCUGCAUGCCUUUUGUUGUUGUUGUUGUUGUUUUGUUACUCAAAAGUUUUUGUUGGGCAAUUAACUUGAUCUGAAAAUCAGAGUUGUUCCUGAAAUUAUAUUUUGGGCAGAGCUAGGAGAACUGAUUAAAGCUUAUCAGAUUUCACUGGUAGCUUAAUCUAAGUUAACUGACAAUUAUAGAGUGAGAUAAAAAUUAAAGCAGUGAGUAUGAAACCUUAUACUGAGCAGGGCAACUCUGGGAAAAGCCCAGUCCUGACCAAAUACUGAGGAGGGUGGCUCUACACCAAGGAAGGAUUACAAAAAUUGCCCAGAACUUCCAGCAAAGCAACUUCUGUGGAAACCAAGAGUAACAUCGUGCAGAGUUUACUGCCAGGUACUCUGGCAGCCACUAAAUAGACACAAUUUGUGUGAUUUGCAUUUCGGACACCUCUUCUGCCUGCUCUUUUAAGAUCCCAGGCACAAGAAAGGAACAGGGAAUGAAUACUUAUGCACAUUUUCUUUUUGCUGCCUUGCUUGCCUUGUUUACCCCCAACACAGCAAAUAAUUUGUAGAGAAGUUACUGUUCACCAUUGCUAACAUGGAAGAUGCUUGUGCGCUGUACAACCAGAUACUUCUUGCAUUUGUAGGGAUGAGGAAGAGUUAUGCUGCUGAACUCCUAAGGGGACAACUUGUCUGCAGAGAUAAAUUACUGUUCUGAACAGCAGUAAGAAUUAAAAUCAGUAAACUUCAUUUUCACUGGUAUAAUGGGAACUCAGAGAGGCUUUCCUCUCUUUCUUUUUUUUUUUUUUUUUUUUUUUUGUCACAAAGGUGCAAAAAUAAAUGAAAAAUAAAAAUCACAAAAUAGGACACUGCACAAACACAGAAAAUGAGCACAGAUAUUGAGCACAGAUAUAUUUUGCCCCUUCCUCCCCACCAGGGUGUCCCCCCACUAGCACCACUAGCACAUGUAAAGGUAUUUCCAAAGCUGGGCUUUAGAGUCUUUUUGAACUCUAUUGUACAUUAGUCUCUGCACCCAUAAAUUGACUCUAGGGUCAUCCAGGGGAUAAUUUAGUUUUAAAUACAGGGUUGCACUAAUAUGUCUGUUGGCCCUCACUCAUCCAUUUGAAUUGGCAGGAGUCCAGCUGGAAUAGAGGAGAGGAGCCGUUUAAGGGACCCGUUCUUCAUGAUGUUACAUUAUCGUAUCUCUUGUCUAGUACUUCCUGAAGAGAAGGCUAGAAUUGGAUUGGUGUAACAGAGCAGACCCCCUACAGUGAUGGGGUAGGGGCUACUGGCCUUACAUUAGGAUGUAGUGUAUAGGGCAGAGUAUGGCCUAGAUUCUGGCCUGAGGAGGAUACAGAUGGAAAGAAAAAUGCAGUUUUUAUGAAGGCUGCUCAGUCACACAUAACACUUACAGUCAAACUGUUGUGCCAGUUUAUGUUUAUGAGUAAUUUAGAGGAAACAUAUACUUAUCUCCAGUUUAAAGAUACGAAGGAGAAAGUAAUUUGCUAACAACUGUUUUGGGUUAUUUGCAGAGACAAGAUAAGAAAUAAAGAGUAAUUGUAGUUUGACUGAAAAAUAACUCCAACUUUCAGAUGUCUCUUGUACCCUCUGAAUCUGUAACAGAAUUGCACUGUGGCCAAAAGAACGAUUUUUUGUUUGUUUUUUGUAAUCUGUCUGUGAGAUGAACAGGACACCUACUUUUAUCAGUUUUCACAGUGAGUAAAAAAAUCAGAAUGUUUGCCAGUUAUCUUGCGUGGCAGAGCCCAACUCUGCAAAGACUUUAGUUUGAAUGUUUUAGGGUUUUAAAAUGCACACUUUUUUGUCUAUAUGUAUAUUUGCUCAUUCUUUUAUUUAAUCAAAGGGAAAAAUUGUGUUCAUGAAGCUUGGCUUUUAAAUUCUAGAUUCCAGUGGUUCAGGCAUCUGUAUAACAGGCUUGUCUGUGCUAUACUGUGCUAUACUACUCUUUGACCUCCUGGGUGUUUCUCUUCUGAGGGGGGAAAGGAAUUCUUUCCAUGUUAAAAGAGUUCAGUCUCCUCCUGUCACUGAUUGCCUCUGCUGCUCAGUUGAGCCCAAUUAUAUGCAAUGGCUUUUCAAGGGUUCAGCUGUGAAGAAGGCAUGUGUGUGAAUGAUAUCAAUAAAAUAACAGGAUUUGCAUAUACAGAAGCAGAACACAUGCUACUGCUUUGCUGAUUUACCAUGUAAGGUACACUUACUGUUCGGUAGGACAUCUGUUGACGCUGCCGCUUUUAUAUCUCUCCUGCUUAGUUCUCCUGGCUGCCAUAGGCACGGGCGAAAGAAAAUAGCAGUGCAAAGUGUUCAUGCAGGAGUAAUAAUAGUCCUUAACAGAAGAAGAGUAAUUACCUUUGUCUGGUUUCUCCCUGCUCUAAAAUCUAAUAAAAUAGAGACCAGCGGCUAUGUAACAAAUGCACACGGAAGUCCUGUUGCUUUUACUAAAUCUGAGGCAAGUUAUGUAAAAUGUCCUGUGCUCACAAGCUAACUCGCAUCUUAAUUCUGAAAAAAAUCCAUUACUGAUGAGUAGAUUUCCUGACUACAUUUGACAGCUUUCAAGCUAGCAGCAUUUGGCAGGGCCUUUUAGAGUUAUAGGAGAUUUAUAGCUAAAGAGAUUACAUAGCAAUGGGUUCAGAUCCGAUCCCUUUCCCCCAGCUCCUGCGCUGGGUAACAAUGACAGGAGCUGUCUGUGUACCAGAAGGAACAGUUUAAGAGCGGUGGCUGCAUUUGGCAAUAGAAACCCCCGCUAGCAGCCGGAAGCAUUGGUGCUGAAAAGCAAUCGCUGGUGUCAAGAACUUUCCUAGCCAAGCACUGCAGCUGGUGGCAAUAAAUAGCAUUCUAAUAAAGGAGGAUGUUCAACCCAUGACAUAAGCGAAUACUGUUUCAACCACAAAAAGUAAUUUAUGGUGCUGCAUAUAUCUGAAAUGUACUUUAUCUGAUACAUUUUAAAAUACAAAUGCUAAGAUUUCAAACAGAGAAAGAUCUGCAUUUUAAAUCAAAAUGAAAUUGAAAGAUCAAUGAAAAGUGUACUGCUUUUUUAAGUACGCAAUGAUACAUAACAUCUUAAGGAUGUGCACUGUCACAAAGCACAAUUACCUCCAUUCCUAAAAAUGAAAGAUGCUGUUUUCUGACUGUGAAUAUUCUCUAUAUUGCAUCAAACCUAAUAACUUCCCGUGUCAGUGAUAAUCCCCUCCAACAUUUAGACAGAACUAUCAUAAUCUUUUCCUCUAAGAAUGCCAAAAUGAUCAUGCAGAAAGUAGCAAAUAACAAUAUGCUCGGAUUGCAUAAACAUAAUGAUUCCUGAAAAAAAAUCAGUUCCAGCCUCAAUGAACAGUAAAAAAAGAGGAGUGGAUAAUAAAGUCAUUAGGCUCAUUGGACCUGUUAACUUGCUGAGUCCACUACAGUAAACAAGUUAUUAGUUUUGACAUAACCAGUGGUUUAUUUGAACAUAUACUGCUGUUCUUUGUUAUGUGCUCUGUUUAUGCCACAUGUGAUUUCUCUUACAUAAUUAUUGUGAAACACAGCAAUGUUACAUACUGCAUCAUUUUCCACUGGGAUGAGCAGUGUGGAUGUAGUACCAGGAGGACUGUCCUUGGAGUUUAUUUCUACUGGCUAGUUUGGGGAUUUUUUGCGUGUGUGGAAGAGAAGGUAGUUUUGGUUUUAGCUGAGCAUAGGCUGUCUGAUUAACUGAAUAGAGGGAUUGUUCUGAAAGGCAUUUUAUAAAGGAGUUUGCUUCGAAUCAUAAGGGCUGUAUGUGCAAGCAUGUAAAUUGAGUAACUGGUUAAGUGCUACUCAAGAUCAAAAUACUUUGUAUUGGAAUGCAAAGCACAGUUUGCAGUUUGAAAUUCCUUAAGUAAAUGUAUAAUUGGCAUUAUUCUUUUACACGUGUUUAUUAAUUCCCUAGUUUUUAUUUUGGAAGAAAUAGGCCCACAUGUUUGAGAGAUGGCUGAUACCCAUUUACCAGCAGCAGAGCUCUGUACUCAAGCUGAUUCUCACCCCUGCCCCCUCCCACUGUAGAUGGUUUCUGCUGUCAUCUAGGAGUUAAAGAGCCAGAUUCUCAGCUGGUGCACAUCAGCACUGCUAUCCUGAAAUAAACAGGCAUAACUUCACUGUAGUCACUCAAACCUAAGCUCAGAUUCAUGGUUUUGCCGUCCUUGAGCGCAGUGCUUUUUAAGGCUUACAAUACUCACUUCUGUGAUACUUUGUUAUGGUAUAAACAAACACCAGGCUUCUGAUUCGAAUUAUAAUCUCAUUCACCCAGAAAGCAAUAGAGCUCUGCUUAUUUAUCCCAGCUGAGAGGAUAGCCCAAAGGCUUUUCAUGUUGUAUGAUAAAGUAAUGGGCUGUGAUGCUGACUGCACACCCCUCCCCAUAUAAACAAGGAGGCGACCCCACUACUGCUGGUGCAAUUACUUAGAUGUGAAACAGUUGUUGAGAAAGUUGUGGAUUCAAAUCAGUGCCAUGAUGUUUAUUCUGUAGUGAAGUGACAUGUCUGCUGAGGCUUUAGUCAGUUCAGAAGGAAAGCAAGAGUCUGAAUUUAGGUCUUGGUAUGAAGAGUUGGACAGAAAUUUGGGAGUAAUUAAAGGAUGGAACACCUACUGAAAAUGCUGAAUUGAAUGUUUCCUGUAAACUGUGUGUGCAGCCACAACACUCUUUGAUUCUGAGUCACAUAUAAACUCAGGAUGGAAUCCAGCUGUAAAGCCUGGAUCUAGAUCUGAAUUUCCAGAAGUUCAAGGUUGUUGAGAACAGUGGAAUUUAUUUGGUUCCGUAUCUAAUUUAAAUGCAAAACUUUUAAAGUAACUUCAAUCAGAUGUGCUUCGGAGCCACUGGAAAAAUAGUGCAAUAAAAGCUGAAAUUAAACAUAUCUGGUAUUGUGUAGGGAUUUUAUUAGUAUUCCAGUUUAAGGUUAGAAUAGUGCUCUCAUGCAGUCAGCCUACGUUAAUAAAUUAAAGCAGGGAAGUUUGCAAAUGAUUUAAAAUCAUGGCUUACACAUUUUCUAAAGAAAAAGAAGAGAAGCACAGAAAGUUCAUCUUAAUUCUCGAGGCAGUGCAUGUGGUGAACAUUAGUUUUCCCUUUCUUAUUUUUUUAAGGUUAGCUAAUGCUUUAUUUUUCUUCACAAAUACUGUACUGGUAACUGAAGAUAUCUUCCAUAUGUUUACAAUGGCAGGGAUAGCAACAUCAAUGAUAUAAGGACCUUCUUUAGGUGUGGCACAUAGUAGCAAAGAAACAUAACUGUGUAUGUAUUCACAUCUCCACAGCGGUACUUUGUUCCAAAACUGCAAAACACUUCAAAUGAAGGAACAUGGUCUGGCACGAAUUGGGAGCUGAAGGAAAGAAAGAAUGCAGUAUUUAUUUAAAACCAAAACAAAACCUGAAACAAAGAAGCCGGUUCUUGCUUCUAAGUUUAACCUGUAAUAUUUCAUUCAAUAUGCUGUCUUGAUCAAAAUCAGCUGCAGGAAUAGGAUAGCUAUCAGUGCUCUCAUUUUUGUCGACAUGAAACAGAAAAUCAAUGAUCCCCUUAUUCUCCUUUGUUACCUGUUUUCUUCAGCCCAGCCAGGUUAGUGGUUAUCUAGGGAAUGUCAGCAAUGAUAAUUCUUAUAGAAACUCUCUCUCAUGGUUUUGGCUGGUGAGAAGGUGUUUGAUAAGAAACUACCAGGUGAAGGAGAGAAAGCAAGCUGAGAGGUAAACAAACAUCCAAAGGCUGCCCAGGGGACUGAGGUUUGCGAGUGCUGUGCUCAUUUUGGCAGAGCUAGAACAUCCUGAGCGACUGGUCUCGCACUGCCUGGCUGCACAGCUUGCUGAUUAUGGAUGGGAGGUCAUGUCCUGCCUGGAGAUGAUCUUCACCAACCUGGAAAAGCAUCUUUAUUAAGGGCAGAGAAGUGGGAAAAUGAAGAAUUUCUAGAGCUAUGAGAGCCCACCUGUGAAAGUGACCCAGGGCCCUCUUAAUACUUUUAAAGUGAGCAGGACGGCCACAGCUUCUGUGUGCUCUGGUUUUCAGGCAGCACGUUGGUUGGGAGGUGGGUGGUUGUUGAGGGAGGCUUGCAAGGUUCAUAUGUCUAUAACAGCUAAAUGUAGUUUACCUGGUAUAAUGUUCUCAGUGAGCUGGCUUUGCUCUUCUGGCUUUUCCUGAAGGAAAUUCUUCCAUCUGGUUAUUUUCAGAAGUUUGAAAUCCAAAAGUCAGACUAGAUGUGAUCUCUGACCAAACAAGGGUCUCUCCAGGCAGUUUAAGAAUACACUUUCGAGGAGCUGAUUUAUCCCAAGCUUGUGUUUGUGCCAGUAGAGCUGAAGCACCUGCUAUGCAGGACUGCACAGUUCCAAACUGAUACUCACCUGUGAUGCAUUGCCUCCUUGAUCAUCAGUUUUUAAAAAGACCCGAAGCCCAUUUCUUUUUCUUCACUGCCUUCCUCUGACUUAAAAAUUUGCAGGACAUGACUUAUUGCUUUGCAACAUAAAGCCUGUCACUGGUAGCACUUGGCUUUUCCUUUUCCCCCAUACUGGUGAUUUGGUACAGCAGCACUGAUUCCUGUGGUGUUAGACCUGCUUAUAGUUGUGUAACAGGACAAAUGGGAUCCACAGAUUUUUAGAGCUUUAAAUGAUCACAGAAUACCCACAGAUUCAGCAAUGAAUUGAGUGCUCUCCACUUUCCCCAGCCAAGUUCAAAAAUGUGAGCAUUACGAGCCCAAAGAUAAAAUAAAAAGAAAAAUGCCACGUGAAGCACUCUGGUACUCUUGUUUUUGUUUUGUGCUCUUUCUUCAAGUUAUCUCAAAGAAAAGUAAUUUAUUGAGGUCUCUUAAAUGCGUAUAUCAGGUGCUGGCAGCACUGAAUCUUUCUUGUGUAUCCUGCUUAAGAAAAGAAUGACAGCUGACGGAUAAAUCUUUCUAAAGAGGUCUGAAACAGCCAUAUUUACUGAACUGGAUCUUUUGAAGACUUAGGGAGGCUACAUUUUGCUUACCACUUCUGUAUGAACUUAAACUAUGUAUCACUUCUCUUGUGUCCUUUUUCUGUCUCCCAGUAAUUUUCUACUUACUGUUUGCAUUUUAGUAGCACAGAAUAGGGAACUCAAGCUUUUUUUGAUAGGAGGCUGUAUCUUUCAGAGCCCAAACUUCAGAGGACUUGCCAAAUUCUGCGUCAAACAUGAAACUUGCAGAAAGAGCAUUAAAAAUAUUUAAACUAAGCAAUUAAUUUCUUACCAUCUGGAAGAAUCACAAACAGUUACAAAAGCAACUCAAAAAUUCGUAUGCCAUUAAUAGGCUGACUUCUUCAAUACAGAAUAUUAUGCUGUUCAUAGCAACAGAUUAAUGUACAACCAGUCAUGACUGGCCUUUCAAACAAAUCAGAAUAGACAAUCCUGUAGAUAAUGGGGAAUCUCUAUAUUAUGAUUGAUGUCCGAGAUUUAUGAUGUUAUAAACUAUUGGUUAUGUUGUUUUGACAAUGGAAGAACUAACGAAUGAGACAGAUUUGCCUGCAGUGAUGAACUAUAUCAUAAAGAAACAUUAAUAAAGAUAAAACAUUUGGAAAUUCUUUAUGAAAAAUAUCAUUUUUGCUCUUUUCACAAGGAACAAAAGAAGCCAGAAACAUGACAGAUUUCAUCAAGAGAGCUGUUCACAGACUAAAACACAUUGGCAAAUGGGAUGCAUCUAGCGAAGCAUAUGAGUCUCACAAGCUGCCUCUCAAUCUGGACCCGUGGAGCUGAGAGAAAACACCGCAGCAAGGAGAGACGGUGAGAAAUCAGAGUAAAACUGUGGAUGAUGGGAACAAGUCGUAAAACUGUUUUCAGACCCUAAGCCAGUGUGGUGAGCUCCUUGUUCUGCUAAGAGAACAGGAGAGAUUUAACAAAGUGAAUCAGAUGAGAGAAAACACUGAAAACUGCAUAAAGGAAAGAAUAAUGGAAAACUGUAUUAGUGAAACUGGAAACAAACAUGAAAAGCAAGUAUUCUAGAUACAAUUAGCAGAGUAUGCUGGGAGAAUGAUGUUGUUUUGAUUUAAAAUACAACACCUUUUACUGAAUGCAACACAGCAGAAGAAACCUUGUUUCCCUCUCUGGGUAGCAGCACACCCGUGUGCUGACCCAGUAAUGUGGCAGCUUCUUGAGAGGGUCUUGCAAGCCAGGACUGGGCAAAGUGCCGCUGCCAUCUCAGUCUCCGGUGGCAGGGAGGUUUCCAUCUGUUGUCCUUCAGGAGGUUGCAGGUUGGCUCUCUUCAGAAGCAGUCACUAAGCUACAAGAACAACUUUGGCACAUGAGAGACAGAAGCUUUUGUUUCUCUUCAUGAAGCAAGCAGAGCUUUGGAUUAGGUAUGAGAUUUUGAAAGAGGAGAUGGACAGAAAUAACAGUGUAGUUGGGAAGAAUGUAGGAAAGGUAACAAGAAGCAUAGUAUAACAGACUUUUUUUUUCAGGAAAACAGAAUUAGACCUGAAGUGUGUUAUUAACACAUGAAAAAAAAUUGAGGGAAAAAGGCCUGCAGAGCAAGCAAGAAGCAGUUUUAUUAGUGAAAGCGCACUGGGAAAUAUGAAGCAAUUCUGAACUCACUGUUUAAGCACAAGAACUUGUUUUUCUACUUGAUGCUUACUGUCCUGGCACUUGCCAUCCUUGUGCCACAGCACAUGCGGCUGCAAAAUGGACAUCCUGUGUCCUGAUUAGUAAAAGUCACUAAAAGUUUUAAAGAGCAUGUCCCAGAAAUUAGGGAUGAGACCUUAUUUCCUUCCCUACUUUGGAAAACCUACGUUGUAAAUUAGAUGAGACCCCAGCAGAAGAGCAAUAAGGCUGAACAAAGUACAGUCUGUAUGCGAGAAUGACAGGGUAAAUGCUCAGCCAUCAGCAUGACACUGCUGAAUGCAGAUGCCAGCAGAUCCCUGUCUGAUCUAACCUAGUGAUGCAGAAACCAGCAGCAGACUCACAGCCCUUGCACAUCUGGGACAGACACGAGGAAGUAUGAGAAAAAUCCAACCGAAUCUGCUUUCUGAAUCUUCAUGACAGGGCUCUUACUGGUGUUGCGUUCUUGUACCUGAGUAACUGAAGAAUGAAGGAAAGAGGUGUGCAGCUUGCAGAAUGGGAAGGGGGGAACUACAAAUUACACACUAAAGGCUAGCUACAACAAGUGGUGUCUUCCCUCUAAACAGACUCUUCAAUGUUACUUUUCCAGCUAAGUGGUAUCUCAUCUGGGACAUAUUUAAAAAUCCCCACUGUUGCUCAAAUGUUGGAUAGUUGGCUUUCUUCUUUAGUCUGUAGUUAGUAUGAGCUUUGAGCACGUUAUCUCUGGUCAAGAAGCAUAAACCAGUCACACACAGCAUUAAUGGACAGGAUUGUCUCAAGCCAAGCACAACAUAGUAAAUCUGUGACACUUAUUAUCUCGCAUUCCUAUGACACAUCUGCUAUCAUGCCAGAAACUGUUGCUGGGUUUCCAGGGGCUGUGGGUUGCUGAAACACAAACAGCUCAUACAAAUCUUACCCUCUCUGGCUGCCUACAGCAAACCUUACAGAAAUGCUGGGGUGAAAUGAAGGCACAGAAAAACUUAUUUUGACUGGAGCCUCCGACGUUUUGGAAAGCCAGUGUGAUCUCAUCAGUACAGCUGAGUAAUUGGGCUAGUGAUAACAGAAUUGUUGAGAUAACUCUGGGAACUGAGGGUCUGGACCUUCAUGGCAAAUGUACACCUAAGCAAAAGAACCUGCUUCUGCAUGCUCCAUUUAGCAGACUCUUUCUUAAUAUGUGUUUUGUUUAAGUAAAUGUUUAUUUCACCACCUGAGCUGUAAGCCACAUGUCUGACUAUGAAGACUGGUGUUAGUUUUAUGAGAAUAUUCAAUGAUGGAUAUAUCCCAUCAGUGUUAUAUUUUACUGGUGACAGCUAACUACCACACUCAUCCAUGUUAGAGACUUGAAACAUGUACAAAACUUGGUGAAUCACAUCAAGUAUUUAAGUAUUUCCAAAGGGUGAUAUUAGAAUUCAAACUAAACUCAACAGAUCACAGAAGUAGUUUGAAGUCAGCAAGUUAAAACUCUAAAAAUGCACUAGCAACUAGUAUGUGCAAGAAAGAAAAGAAUAGUAGGAUGAAAAAAUGAAUUUGGGAUGAAUCUGGAUAUGGGCAUUAUAAAUGGCCCCAGACUAAACAGAAGCCACCAACUUGCGAUUGAGCAAAUGUAUUUGCAACGAUCUUGGACGUAAGAUACUAUGUGUUUCUAAACUAGAACAAAAUAACAUAGGCACACUGGAAGAGAUAAGUGUGAAGUAACAAAUACGAUCAUAAAAUUCAAAACUUUCUACAAAAAUGCUGGAAGAGUUUGUGGUGUUUAGUUGAGAAAACAAUAUUCAGAUACGGAAAAGGUCAGAAAAAGAAGGCAGCCACCACAUUUACUAUCCAUAUUCACUUAUAAUUGGAUGAGACGUAACAGGCUUAUUAUAGCAAAAAAAGAUUUAGGUAAGACAUUGGAAAAUCUUUCUAACUAAAAAAGAUGGGUAGUGGAAUGAAUUCCCAUAGUCCUUUUAAGCAUCUUCAUUGCUGGAGUUUUUUUAAGAUUAGAUUAGACAGACAUUUAAGCUCAUCUGUAUAGACAUUCUUGCCUCAGAAGAAGGUUGAAACUAUAUGUCUUGAGACCAAAUUGCACCUACAUUUCUUUUUCAUGAUACGUAGCCUGAUAAUUUUUUUAAACAUAUUUUGUAAUUUGUAUGUAAUGCAAUGCCAAACACAUUGAAAUAAGGCUGCUUAGAGUAGGUAUGGAAACAAACUGAUUAAACUAAUUUUUAUGUUUUUCCACUCAUUCUGGAGCUAUCAUGCUGAGACAGAACACAAAACCAAGUGUGGUGUGAAUGCUCAUUAUGGAAAAAAAAAUCAAAUAUAUCCAUUUGAAAUGGAAAAUGUUUUCUGGUAGUAAAGCUUGCAUUUCCACAGCACUCUUCUACUGGGAUUUUCAAAGUGCUUUCAGAGAUGGUCUUAGCACCCGAGGCACUUUGUGAGGUGAGACCACAUCUGUGCAGCGUCACGUUGGAGACAGAAGCCUUGAAAUAUCCAGUUCAAGUUCUAAAACCUGCUGGUGCUCAGCAGAGCUGGGCCUGGCUGGCUCCAGGUGCAGCUCAUCCCCUCCUCUGUGUCACGCUCUCUCAGCAUCACUGUCACUUGUCAGUUUGCAGAAAUGUCUCUGUGCUUUCAUCAACACUUAAAUAUGGGAAACCAUCCUAUACGACAGUGAUAAGUGUCGAGUUAGUGCCCUUUCCUGAAGACCUUUACCAAUACAUCUAUGAAGAGCAAACAAGUAACAGGAACUUCUAUAAAUAGAAAGGGUAGCUGGUAUUUAUUAAUAGCAAAAAUAAUUAUAUGUGUAUAUUUUAUGUAUGUGUUUAUAUGUAAAUGUACAUGUAUUUACAUAAAUAAAUAAAUACAUAAAAUUGUAUUAUUUUGA
Molecule: long non-coding RNA, 11671 nt
Organism: Columba livia (rock pigeon)
Lineage: Eukaryota; Metazoa; Chordata; Aves; Columbiformes; Columbidae
Exons: 3
Source: RefSeq, a predicted model, not a curated record